AUCAAAAGACAGAAUCUUGAUGACUAAGACAUUUUCUUUGGACCCAGGAGAUGAAUAUAUGCCUGAGAAGAAGAACUAGUGUGGAACUGUCAGCCAGGUUUUUGAUGAGUGCUCAGACUGCUUCCUGAUCCAGCACCACAUUUACUAUAGUGGACAGAUGCUCUAGUCUCUGAUGAGGAGUUGCUAGCUGUUAGGAAGAACCUGGAAUGGGCUCCACUGCAUGAGGUUUGAAGUCUCCAGAGCAGCAAAGAGAGUGGGGAGUAGAACUCAUCAUCUUUAGGUCACUCAGCAUCGA
RNAcentral lists this long non-coding RNA (295 nucleotides) under Mus musculus (house mouse). RNAcentral's name for it is "predicted gene, 57865". Lineage: Eukaryota; Metazoa; Chordata; Mammalia; Rodentia; Muridae. The record is from RNAcentral.